Gasterosteus aculeatus (three-spined stickleback) is the source of this 46-nucleotide non-coding RNA. Lineage: Eukaryota; Metazoa; Chordata; Actinopteri; Perciformes; Gasterosteidae. The record is from Rfam.
ACAACGGCUCUUUUAAGAGCCACCUCACCGCCUCUGGAGAACUAUU